RNAcentral lists this ribosomal RNA (695 nucleotides) under uncultured bacterium. RNAcentral describes it as "bacterial SSU rRNA". It matches the Rfam family "Bacterial small subunit ribosomal RNA", at positions 94 to 803 of the family's 1533-position model. The record is from RNAcentral.
AGAGGCGCACGGGAGAGAAACGCGUAGGUAAUCUGCCCACGAGUGGGGAAUAACCAGUCGAAAGAUUGGCUAAUACCGCAUAAGACCACAGGAUCUGCGGAUCAAGGGGUCAAAGGAUUUAUUCGCUUGUGGAUGAGCCUGCGUCCGAUUAGCUAGUUGGUAAGGUAACGGCUUACCAAGGCGAGGAUCGGUAGCUGGUCUGAGAGGAUGAUCAGCCUCACUGGAACUGAGACACGGUCCAGACUCCUACGGGAGGCAGCAGUAGGGAAUAUUGCUCAAUGGGGGAAACCCUGAAGCAGCAACGCCGCGUGAGUGAUGAAGGCCUUCGGGUCGUAAAGCUCUGUCGCAGGGGAAAAUCUAAGAUGGUACCCUGUAAGAAAGGACCGGCCAACUUCGUGCCAGCAGCCGCGGUAAUACGGGGGGUCCUAGCGUUGUUCGGAAUCACUGGGCGUAAAGCGUUUGUAGGUGGCUUUGUAAGUUAAAUGUGAAAGCCUGGGGCCUAACCCCAGAAGUGCAUUUAAUACUGCAGAGCUUGAGUAUGAGAGAGGAAGGUGGAAUACCUGGUGUAGUGGUGAAAUACGUAGAUAUCAGGUGGAACAUCGGCGGCGAAAGCGGCCUUCUGGCUUAAUACUGACACUGAAAAACGAAAGCGUGGGGGAUCAAACAGGAUUAGAUACCCUGGUAGUCUACGCCGU